GGCGCGCACAGCACAGGCCCUCUCUCAAGGUCACCACCUCCACUCCCGUUGUAUGCUGGGAUUGUAGUCCGGCCGCCCUGUGACUAACGGCUGGAACCGCCUAAGACACCACCCCAGCCAGCAUGGCCGGCAGGAGCGCACCGCGCUGUCUCCCUCCAGGGAUCCGCACCGCCCUACAAUCCUGCUUUGUGCUGAGAUUGUAGUCCUGCAGGCGUACAACUAACAAGCUGGGUGCAGAUAAGAGACUACAGCUCCCCGCAUCCCAAGCAAAGGUCCCUCCUCUACGGAGCCCCUCCACGCGUCCACUGCGGUUCCGCCGUGCCAAGGGGAGCUUGGCUGUUCACGGGCCUCACCUGCUAGCGAGAAGAUAGCUUGGCCGGGCGGCUGAUCUCACCUUGUAAUUCUGACACUGUGUCUCCCGGGCUUGUCGGCUUCAUGACUUGUGCCCAAAGUUUGAUUUCUCGCAGACCAGGAGGACCCAUUGGACCCCCGGGCUGGCUGCAGGGCCCACACCUGGGUUAGACCUCGCACAGGGACGCUGCUGCCACUGUAAUAAAGCGUGCCUACACGCUUCUGAAACUGGUGUAGGAACAACCUCAGUUCUGUGAAAGGCGGACGCAGCAGGACAGAAUCUCCGUGGACAUCUGUCUGGAGGAGCAAUUUUACUGCGACAUUUUAAAGAAACAAAUUUAAUUGAUUUCCAAGGCUAGAGUGUGACAGAAAUCUAAAAGAUCAACUUCAUCGUGCAGGAAGGAGCAUAGAAAAAUAGAGAAAAGAAGAAAACAGCAAACCAUUCUGAGUACCGUGGAAACAAACUAAAAGUGGGCUUAGAAGGAAAACAGAGGAAGAAGGUCUGAGUAGUCCCAGGGACUCCAGAGGCCAAGAUGGGAAAGCCACCCAGGCGAGACAGGGGAGAUGGAAGCCACAGGGAAUCACUAUCACAUACCUCUGCUGGACCUGAAUGGUCCUGGCGCCAGCUAGAGCCAUCUGGUCGACCUUAGACAUGUCAAGGCAGGAGCCAUCUGAUCGACCUUAGACUUGGCAAGCUGGUGGCUAAGUCCAGUGCUCACUGCCGACAUCUGUCUCAAAAUAAACAAAAAGUCCAACAGUGAAUAUUUAACAAUAACAAAAAUAUAAUACCAAACAAUAUUAAAGACCAAUAAAUAAGUGGGAGUGAACAAAGGUAAAAGGUAACUAAUAUCACAAUUAAAAUAUUCUGCUAUCUCUCACUCUCUCUCUUCCCCUUUCCAUUUGUCACACCCAGGCUGGAAUGUGACAAAAAAAUAUAAAAGGUCAAUUUCAUCAUGCAGGAAUGAGUGUAGAAAAAGGGAGAAAAGAACAAAGAAGAAAAACAACAGCAAGUCUCUCUAAAACUUCAGUUAGUUUCACUGUAGAAAAAAAAAUUGAAAGUGGGGUUAGGAAAAAAAGGAAGGAGGAGGAUAAGUUCAGGUAGCCUGAGGGACUAGGGAAGCCAAGUGGGAAGACCACCUGGGUGACACUGGGAAGAUCGAGACCACAGUGAAUCAUGAUCACAUCCCUCUGCUGUACCUGAAUAGUACUUCCAAAGGCAGGAGCCAUCUGGUCAUCCUUAGUCAUGGCAAGGCGAGAGCCAUCUGGUUGACCUUAGAUAAGGUGAGAGCCAUCUGGUUGACCUUAGACUUGGCAAGCUGGCAGCUAAGUCCAAUCCUCUCAGCUGACAUCUUGGAGAGAGAGACAGACAGACAGACACAAACAGCGAGACAGGAGAAAAUCUUAAUUGUGUUAUUAAUUACUUUUCACCUUUGUUCACUCCAAACAGAAAAAAAUCCAACAGUGAAUAUUUAACAAUAACAAAGAUAUAACUACAAACAAUAUUAAAGACAAAUAAAUGGGAGUGAACAAAGGUAACAGGUAAUUAAUAUCACAAUUAAAUUCUUCUAAUCUCUUUCUAUCUCUCACUCUCGAUUUCUCUCUGUCAACUUCAUCAAGCAGGAAGGAGCACAGGAAAAUAUAAAGAGAAAACAAGAAAAAAAUAGAAAGUCACUCUAAGGACUGUGGAAACAAACUGAAAGUAAGGUUAGGAAAAACAAAGGAAGGAUGUCGAAAUAGUCUGAGGGAAUCAGGAGGCCGAGAUCAUCAGAAGGCCACCCUGUAGAGACCUGGAAGACGCCCAGGGCACAGUGAAUCACGAUCCGAUCCCUCUGCUGGACCUGAAUGGUACUGCUGCUGCUGAGAGCCAUCCUCUCGACCCUAGACUUACCAAGCUGGUGGCUAAAUACAACCCUCGUGGGAAGAUCUGUCUCAAAAGAAAAAAAUCCAACAGGGAAUAUUUAACAGUAACAAAGAACUAACCAUAACAAUAUUAAAGACAAAUAAAUAAGUGGGAGUGAACAAAGGUGAAAGGUCAAUUAUAUCACAAUUAAGAUCUUCUCUCUCUUUCUCCAUUUGUCACAACCAGGCUGGAUUGUUCCAAAAAAAAAAAAUCUAGAAGGUCAAAUUCAUCAUGCAGGAAGGAGGGUAAGAAUAUAUAUAGAGAGAAAAGAACAGAGAAGAAAUACAACAGCAACUCACUGUAAGUACU
This 2560-nucleotide long non-coding RNA is filed under the name Homo sapiens (human). RNAcentral describes it as "long intergenic non-protein coding RNA 662". Lineage: Eukaryota; Metazoa; Chordata; Mammalia; Primates; Hominidae. The record is from RNAcentral.